GCCUUUGACUACAACAGUAGCAGUAGUAAUAAUAGUAAUAAUAAGAUUAACAGUAGCAGUAGUAAUUACUGGUAUGAGAAUGGGUAUCUUGAAACAAAUACUUAUGCAAAUGCAACUAUUUUUCUAUGGGAAUGUAAUGUCAUGAGCAGCACCAAUCAUUUUAUAGAGAAUUGCUGCAAAUAAAAUCUGGUGCUAGUCCCUAUCCCCACC
RNAcentral lists this long non-coding RNA (210 nucleotides) under Elaeis guineensis (African oil palm). RNAcentral describes it as "long non-coding RNA (EGUI_LNC028725)". Lineage: Eukaryota; Viridiplantae; Streptophyta; Magnoliopsida; Arecales; Arecaceae. The record is from RNAcentral.